UACGUAGGGGGCGAGCGUUAUCCGGAUUCACUGGGUGUAAAGGGAGCGUAGACGGCCAUGCAAGCCAGGGGUGAAAGCCCGCAGCUCAACUGCGGGACUGCUUUUGAAACUGUAUGACUAGAUUGCAGGAGAGGUAAGUGGAAUUCCUAGUGUAGCGGUGAAAUGCGUAGAUAUUAGGAGGAACACCAGUGGCGAAGGCGGCUUACUGGACUGUAAAUGACGCUGAGGCUCGAAAGCGUGGGGAGCAAACAGG
RNAcentral lists this ribosomal RNA (253 nucleotides) under uncultured Coprococcus sp. RNAcentral's name for it is "partial 16S ribosomal RNA". It matches the Rfam family "Bacterial small subunit ribosomal RNA", at positions 524 to 776 of the family's 1533-position model. The record is from RNAcentral. Lineage: Bacteria; Bacillati; Bacillota; Clostridia; Lachnospirales; Lachnospiraceae.